CCAUGAAAAUCAAAGGCUAAGAAGGAGAAGAAACCAAGGAUCCAUGGAGUUUUAGCUUGGAAGUCUUUGGGCUUGACAUGGGUGGUAUUGGAUUGCUUUGGAGAUGAGUUUUGAGAGAUUAUAUGGUUGUUUCUUUGAGUGUAUUUAGCAAUCUCGAAUUUAGGGAGAGAGAGGCAUUUUGAGGGGAUUUUAGAAGAGAAAAUAGGGACUUUUAUAAAGAAUCUUGAAGGCUUUGAAGUGGAAGAUGAACUCUUCCAUUUGGGGAGUGUUUGGACGAAAUAGAGGGGAGAGAAUGAGGGAUUUUGGCUUGUGUUUUUGU
Molecule: long non-coding RNA, 319 nt
Filed under: Erythranthe guttata (spotted monkey flower)
Lineage: Eukaryota; Viridiplantae; Streptophyta; Magnoliopsida; Lamiales; Phrymaceae
Description: long non-coding RNA (EGUT_LNC001418)
Source: RNAcentral